AGUGAACGCUGGCGGCGUGGAUUAGGCAUGCAAGUCGAGCGAUCCUAAAUAAUGAAUUGUUUGAAAUUGCGGAAGUCCCGAGUAAUCGGGAUGGAAGUAAUGGAUGACAGCUAGUUUUUUAGGAUAGCGGCAAAAGGGUGAGUAACACGUGGGUGAUUUAUCUUAAGAUGAGGGAUAGCUUUGAGAAAUCGGAGGUAAGACCUCGUACACCCUUGACAUCUUUGAUGUCAAGGGGAAAGGCGGCUUAGUUCGAUUUAUCGGAAUGCUGCUGUCUUAUGAGAAGCCCGCGUCUUAUCAGCUUGUUGGUAGGGUAACGGCCUACCAAGGCGAUGACGAGUAGCUGGCAUUAGUGUGUGGUCAGCCACACCGGGACUGAGACACUGCCCGGACUCCUACGGGAGGCUGCAGUCGAGAAUAUUUCCCAAUGCCCGAAAGGGUGAGGAUGCGACGCCGCGUGGGGGAUGAAGGUUUUCGGAUUGUAAACCCCUUUUGUCAGGGAAGAAAAACCGGCGGCGAAUAACUGCCGGCGUUGACGUUACCUGACGAAUAAGUCACGGCUAACUCCGUGCCAGCAGCCGCGGUAAUACGGAGGUGGCUAGCGUUACUCGGUGUUAUUGGGUGUAAAGGGUCCGCAGGCGGCUGGAUAAGUAAGAGGUGAAAUCUCCCGGCUUAACUGGGAAACUGCCCCUUAUACUGUCUAGCUAGAGGGUAAGAGAGGAAAGCGGAACUGCCGGUGUAAGGGUGAAAUCUGUGGAUAUCGGCAGGAACGCCAGUGGCGAAGGCGGCUUUCUGGCUUAUUUCUGACGCUCAGGGACGAAAGCUAAGGUAGCAAACAGGAUUAGAUACCCUGGUAGUCUUAGCUGUAAACGAUGGGCACUGGGUGUUUGGGCGUAUGCCUGGGCGCCGAAGCUAACGCGUUAAGUGCCCCACCUGGGGACUACGGCCGCAAGGCUAAAACUCAAAGGAAUUGACGG
RNAcentral lists this ribosomal RNA (974 nucleotides) under uncultured bacterium. Its description in RNAcentral is "bacterial SSU rRNA". It matches the Rfam family "Bacterial small subunit ribosomal RNA", at positions 28 to 916 of the family's 1533-position model. The record is from RNAcentral.